AUAAUCUUAUGACUUUAGUGUUUCUUGUGGGGAUCUUUUCUACCUGGACUGGCUGGUUUCUAUUAGAAGUUACCUUUAAAGUAUUCAUUUUCUGUGGGGUCAUGGGUCAUAUGUGGGUUGGGUUUUUAUUGUAACAUUGUGUAUGAAUUUUGGGGGUUUUUUUUAUGUUAAAGCGCUUUGAGUUGCACAAGGGAUGAGAAGGUAUUUUCAUAAAUGGAGUUUGAUUGCAUUCUUUUUCUACUGUUUAGCACAUGUCCGCCACCUACAGUUGGAAGAGGUUUGGUGCCAAAUGUUGAAGCGAUGAAAAUCUGCUGAAUCUUGCUUCAGGAUUUUUACUUUCACAGCUCUAUUCCAAUAUUUAAAAGACUUUGUGUUCCACUCGGAAAAUCUGUAAUUUCUUCUUCCGUCGUUUAAAAAGGACGCCAUCCAUACCUCGCUACCAAAUCCGACUCCCUGAUUGUUUAAAGUUUAACGGGUUUAACUUUCAACGCGCGUUUAGUACGUAAAUCACGAAAAAAGUCGUAGAAACUUUAACAGCUAAACGUGAGCUAGAGAACACGGAGCCCGAAAAGCACGUUCAUGCCGAUUUUUGAUUGGAAGCGUCCGCCUGAACGCGUCGGGGACGAUGUGAACGUAGGUUUAGAGCUUACUCAAGGGGAUAAUGACCAAAAGACACCCGCAUCUACAGUCACACAUGCAAAGGUUCAGAACGUUCUGAAGAGUUCUCCUGUGAGCUCCGAUCUAAAUCCAUGUUGAGGAUCAGUGGAAGUCUGAGAAAACUGGAGCAGUUCAGUCACAAGAACUGAAGCACAAUACCUGUUGAAUGCGGAUGGAGAGGUCCCAUUGAGGCUACCAUGGUCUACUGUUUUAAUUCUACUUAAACAGGAUUGGUUUUCAAUUUAGAUUUUUGUUUCUUGGUCUAAAAAAAUCUCAAAAAGUUACAGAAAAGUCGUUUUUCAAAUAUAAGUGGAACGCUGAGGUUACAGGGAGCAGAGGAGAAGAAGGUGGAGGACUGUGAGAGUCAUCCGGUCAGAACAACAGAAGUGAGUGAACAAGCAGGUUGGAAUGGGUGGAGGAGGGUUUCAGGUGUGAAGGAAGGCUGUGGUGAGAGCGACUAUGCUGUUGGAUUAGACACUCUGAUGCAGACAGGAGGCAGAGCUGGAGGGAGAAGAGACGAAGAUGCUGAGGUUCUCUGUGGGAGUGACCAGGAAGGAUCCGGAAUCAGAGGAACGGAUCGUGGUUUCAGAGAUGUUUGGAGGAAUGUUUUUGAUGUCUAGAUGUUCAGGAGAUUCAUGCAGGGAAGCAGAUUGAGAUGGUUUGAGAGGAGGAACAGUGAUGAUGUUGGAAAACGGAUGCUGAGGUUGGAGAAGCCAGGAGGAAGAGGAGGACUGAGCGUGGUAUUUGCUGUGGAGAACCCGGAGAAGUAUGGGGUUCCAUUUGGGCCAAAAAAUGUUUUUGUGGUUUGCAUCUUUGCAUAAAUCUGGUUAUUCUGUUUUUUUUAAUACGCUGAAUUCAGUUUUAUGACAUUUUACGUUGUGUCACACAGCCACUACGUGCAUUUUGCGCACAUUGCAAGGAUGUAAAUUGGUCAUACGUGAAAACACGUGGAUAAAGUGUGAAAGUAUGAUAAUCUUUCACAGAUGCAUUACGAAUGAACCACGUUAAAACCUUCGGAAGUAGUACGAAUAAACCACACAAAAAACAUGUCAAUCAAUGUAAAACAUGAACCGUGCGUGAUUAUAGUGCUUUUUAUAUACGAAACAAUUACGAACAAUUACGAAAUUUGAACGUGGUAUGUGCGGCGUAUUCACGAUAUCUGGUGAGGGAGGGGUGCCAGCUUUGUGUAAUUGUUCUAUGUUUUCUGCUUGAUUAAAUUUUUAUAUUUUAUGGCCUUUUUAUUUGCUUUUAUGUAAAGCGCUUCGUGUUUUCAGUCGAAAUGAAAGGCGCUAAACAAAUAAAUAAAGUUUGAGUUUGAUAUAAAAGUUGUACAUCGGUGGUACACGAUGUCCAUCAGACAUGCGUGGAACGGUCAAGUAUAGCUACAACUUUGCAUCUCGCACAAAUCACGCACAGUUGUGUAAAUUUGACGUAAUAAUUGCGUAUAAACUAUGUUAAAUAAGCAUAAACUGUGACCAAACAUUUUGAAGAACUCAAAAGCCAGUCUUGUUUUUUUAUUUUUGUAUUUGAUCUAUUUCUAUUUGUUGUUUCCAUUUUGUAUUAUUCUUUUUUGCUGCUGUUUAUUGCCUUGAUCCAAAAUUAACAAACAGACAAAAAAAAAGUCAAAUUACUUCAACUUUACUCUUGGAUUCUCCAGGAUUAAAAGUGUUUUUCUGUAUAUUGCAAAAAGAAGAUCAUGUAGAAAAGAAUCACAUUAAAAUGUUUUAAAUUAAUGCAAGAUGUUGCCUGUCAGGGGAGUUAUAAAAUGAAUAUACAGUACAGUGAGAAUCUGCUGCAUGUGUUUGAUCAAACAUAUUAAUGGUUUACUUCCUGUAUGAAGCCAGGGUUCUGGAUUUGUUCUGUUCUUUUCAGGAAAAAAAGGAUUGGAUCAACCCAACAAGAUAAAAGAAGUGUUAUUUACAUUCUACUGCAUCCUGUUAAAUGAUUUUUGGCGCAGUUGUGUACAUUUUGUGGAUCACAAGAAUAAAUAAUUUGCCGUUUGUUUGUGAAUUGUAUACACAAAUACAUUUCAGACUGACACUGGAAAUCACAUUUGUUGUAAAACUGGAAAAAAAAAAACUUUUAACCUUCCAUUAAAAGACAAAACAUGGAGCAGAACUUUAUUUUCAUAUUACAAUUGUAUUUUAUAUUUAUAAAAGAAAAUGGUCAAACCUAAUUUAAGCACUUUUUGCAGUAAUAAAUACAAUGUUGUCAAGUUAUCAAAUAAAUUAUACUUGAAAGGGAACUUAAAAAAACGAUAUCAUUGUUAGUUUAUUUGUGAUGCUUCUGUACUUUGGCUGUAUACAUUUGUUUUUAUGUAUUUAUUAAUUUUCUCAAUCCUUGGUUAUCACACUUUGGUUUUUAAAUAAAAUGUGUUGGAGGAUUGCGUCAUCUUUUGCAGCCGUUUGUUGAUGCGUCUGCAUGUGUUCAUGUGUGCGUACAGCGGCCUCUAGUGGGGGAGAGAAGAGCCUGUAGUUUUGCAAGUUCUCUACGUCACCACAAAAGCUCUCCUCCCAUUGGCUGCCGGGCUUGGAUCACGUGACUCCCUCUCUGAGUUUGCUGUGAAGCUAAAAGACAGAAACAAAACAAUGAGCGCUUCUAGCUGAUUUUCUCCUCAAAAACAAACAUCGAACCCGCGACAUAAAAUGCUUUAAGACGCAGAUUCAGGUGGAUUUGAACUAUCAACGAUCGUCUGAGGUGGCUCUACGAUGGUCUGAGAGAAGAUUCAUUCAUUGGUGACAUUUGGAGGCAGAAUAAAGAGAAAAA
Long non-coding RNA from Oryzias latipes (Japanese medaka), 3423 nucleotides. RefSeq lists it as uncharacterized. The record is from RefSeq and is a predicted model, not a curated record. NCBI's taxonomy places the organism in Eukaryota, Metazoa, Chordata, Actinopteri, Beloniformes, Adrianichthyidae.